Molecule: ribosomal RNA, 309 nt
Filed under: Triticum aestivum (bread wheat)
Lineage: Eukaryota; Viridiplantae; Streptophyta; Magnoliopsida; Poales; Poaceae
Description: partial small subunit ribosomal RNA
Source: RNAcentral
AUGUGCCCUGCAAAUUGUCCUUGUGAGUCUACGAACUGGAGGACCCAAAUUAUCUCCUUGAUUGCUCUUGAAGAAGUAGAAAUAGAUGGCUUCAGAGGAGAUGCUCAUGAGCAUGAUUUCUUGAAACUAAUAUUCAGCUGUGCACCAAUUCUUAAAAGAAUGAUUGUGAGGCUGUCAGAUGAGGUCUCGUCAAGUAAUGAUAGAUGCACGGAAAUAUAUGACAUCUUCAGGGGGUAUUCUUCUGUGAAAUGCAAUGUUUAUCUCAGCUCUGGGUUAAUGCAUCGCAGGCAAGGUUGCCGGUUGACAUGA